UGUGAGUACUGGGAAAGGGAGGCGUCUUUCAAUUCCACGUUCUGACUCGUGGUCAAACCUUUCCCCGCUCUUGUCGAGCUUGAAAAACCAGAGAGUCAGGAGAAGAAACACCCGAGGAAACUGCUAAGCUCCGCCCACCUUUGCCUUUGCAGUAGCAGCUAACGUAGAUGACCGACGACUGUUGAUGGUAGUAACGACCGAAUUUCCAAAUCUCACCGCUUGGAGGGAUAAAUGUAGGGAUAGGGAGAAGCCGUAAAGGUUACAACCGGUUCCCUCGAGAGAAGAUCCAAUAUCACCAGAAAAAGAAGGAUAGAUGGAGAAGGAGAAAUGUCACAAAAAGAAGAAAAAAAGAAAACAUGUUUGGUGGUUUGACAGAAAAAAAAGGUGAAGAAAGUACAAAGUGACAGCUUAGACAUCAGGAAAUAUGAGAAAAUUGUACAAGAGAGGAUGGGGAGACCUGACAGUCUGUUUGUGAAUGUUUCCUGCCAGAGGUCUGUAUUGAAAAUCUGACAGUAGGAAGAAAAAAAGAAUAAAAUGUCAAAAUAAAAGCCUGUUUAAACAAA
This is a long non-coding RNA of Oryzias melastigma (Indian medaka), 563 nucleotides long. RefSeq lists it as uncharacterized. The record is from RefSeq and is a predicted model, not a curated record. The transcript has 4 exons. NCBI's taxonomy places the organism in Eukaryota, Metazoa, Chordata, Actinopteri, Beloniformes, Adrianichthyidae.